CGCCGAAAGACUUUCAGGAGGAGGCAGAAGGGACUGGAAUAUAAUUUAAAGAUGGUCAAGGCAUAGAUGCAUCAGGGAGCAUUAGAGGAGGGGAAGAAUGUGAGUAAAAGGAAUGGAAGAAAAAGGCAGGGAGAUUUGAAGAUUUUCUUACUUUCAGGGAUGUGAACAGGCUGAUUCUGCCAACUAAGAAUGCUUCCUUGUCAUAUCUCACCAGAAGACUAUCUUCAAAUGCAUGUCCAGAGUACAAGAGAGAGCACGAAGAUGGAAGAAGACGGGAUGGAAAUGCGCGAGCGUUGAGAUGGGAGAAAUAAUCCAGGGGAAAAUGAUUUGUGUCUUGCCUUUCCCAACAAAUGGUGCUCCAAACAGCUCACAGAAACAAGAUGCACUUCAAAAUACAUGAUAACAAAUGAAAAACAUUCAUAAAAGGAACAGCAGCAAGAGGAGGGAGACCCCAGCCUACGCUACAGAAAGGAGUGACUUCAAGCCUGAUGAGUCACCAGAGAGAAGACACCCUGGCCAGGUCUGUUUAGUAAAUCUUGAGUAAUGGUUGCCAACCAUAAAAAAAACAUAGUUACAGAUGUGGUAACAAUGCAAAGGGGAUACAUCCAGUAUAAAUAAACAGGGCAACAGCUGCCUGGGUACAUUGGGUGGCGAUGUCCUCGUGAGUCACUAAGCUGACGCCACCCUC
Molecule: long non-coding RNA, 688 nt
Organism: Podarcis raffonei (Aeolian wall lizard)
Lineage: Eukaryota; Metazoa; Chordata; Lepidosauria; Squamata; Lacertidae
Exons: 3
Source: RefSeq, a predicted model, not a curated record